RNAcentral lists this ribosomal RNA (567 nucleotides) under uncultured Planomicrobium sp. RNAcentral describes it as "bacterial SSU rRNA". It matches the Rfam family "Bacterial small subunit ribosomal RNA", at positions 1 to 918 of the family's 1533-position model. Lineage: Bacteria; Bacillati; Bacillota; Bacilli; Caryophanales; Caryophanaceae. The record is from RNAcentral.
UUUUAUACGACUCCCCUAUAGGGCGAAUUGGGCCCGACGUCGCAUGCUCCCGGCCGCCAUGGCCGCGGGAUUCUCUGUUGUGAGGGAAGAACAAGUACCACUUAACUACUGGUACCUUGACGGUACCUCACCAGAAAGCCACGGCUAACUACGUGCCAGCAGCCGCGGUAAUACGUAGGUGGCAAGCGUUGUCCGGAAUUAUUGGGCGUAAAGCGCGCGCAGGCGGUCCCUUAAGUCUGAUGUGAAAGCCCACGGCUCAACCGUGGAGGGUCAUUGGAAACUGGGGGACUUGAGUGCAGAAGAGGAAAGUGGAAUUCCACGUGUAGCGGUGAAAUGCGUAGAGAUGUGGAGGAACACCAGUGGCGAAGGCGACUUUCUGGUCUGUAACUGACGCUGAGGCGCGAAAGCGUGGGGAGCAAACAGGAUUAGAUACCCUGGUAGUCCACGCCGUAAACGAUGAGUGCUAAGUGUUAGGGGGUUUCCGCCCCUUAGUGCUGCAGCUAACGCAUUAAGCACUCCGCCUGGGGAGUACGGUCGCAAGGCUGAAACUCAAAUGAAUUGACGGGG